Molecule: unclassified non-coding RNA, 365 nt
Filed under: Hevea brasiliensis (rubber tree)
Lineage: Eukaryota; Viridiplantae; Streptophyta; Magnoliopsida; Malpighiales; Euphorbiaceae
Source: RNAcentral
AAGUCGGGAUGUUAUUCGAGCUGAAAUGCAACGGAAAAGGGCCAUUUGUAAUGAGCAUGGUGCUUGUGUUGAUGCUGCCAUAUCGGAAGAAGUAGCAGCUCGCAAUUUGCUUAAGGCUAAACGCAAGGAAAUAGACUCUGCUCAAUCUCUGAUUAACAGAGUGAAGAGUGCCUCUUCUGUUGAGGAAAUUGAUGGCAAGAUACGUAGUAUGGAACACAUGAUACAGCAUGAAACCCUGCCCUUAAAGGAAGAAAAGAGUUACAUCCGUGAAAUCAAGCAGUUGAAGCAAAUUCGUGAACAGAUUUCUUCUAGUUUGGGUAAGCCAGAGGAUGUUCAGGAGGCUAUAGAUCAGAAAGACCAAGUUG